Molecule: long non-coding RNA, 649 nt
Organism: Xyrauchen texanus (razorback sucker)
Lineage: Eukaryota; Metazoa; Chordata; Actinopteri; Cypriniformes; Catostomidae
Exons: 4
Source: RefSeq, a predicted model, not a curated record
CCGCAAGCUUCAUUCAGGUGUAAGAGUCUCUAUCAGCAAGAUGCUGCUGCAGGGUGACGGCUCAAAUUGGAAACGGAUGCUGGAGCAGAGAAAUUAUAGACAAGAUUCACUCAGUGCAAAUAUGUUUUGCAUUAUGACCAUCUUCGCACAUCUUAUGUUGUGACCGAGGACAACCUGACUCAAAACUACAACCCAGAUGUCCUUAAUGUAGCAAACUAUGCCAUGGACUUCCAUAAUCGCAUGAGCAACUACCCCUAUGCCUGCCUAGUGGAUAGCUUUUCAGACACAGCACAGCCUACAUAUUAGAGAUGCAAGCUGCCCAGACGAUCUGCAAGAAUGAAGUGAAUGUGAACCUGACAGAAUGUCAUUUGCAGACUAAUGCAGAGACCAUGAUCUCUACCUUUGUUUGUUUGCCGUGCCUGGAAAUAACAGUAUCCCCAAACGCCUGCUCUCUGAUCAUUGUGCCUGAUUGGUGAUUGAUUGAAGAAUUAUGAUACAGCUGCUUUCCAAUAUUAUAAAUGGUUUAUGUAUUUUUGCAAUGUUUAUCAUAUUAAGUUUGCUUCGGAAACAUUAGAAACUAACAUAACAGCCUGCAUGUCUAAAUGAUCAUGUAACAUGUGGUGUCACAAUAUUCCAAAAAUAAAAGAAA